CUAUUGUGCACAAGCUAAGAAUAUGUGCUUUUAAAUCCCAUAAGGAAAAAAAUAUUUUUGGUAAAUAAAAUUAAAGCAUAAAUAUCAUGAUUUACCUGACGUUUACCGUAAGCAACAUAAAAGAUAUGUGAUACUGAAUGACUAAAAAGUAGUUUUGGUUAAAGAGAGUUCUAGUUUCCAUGAGGACUCUGACAAUGCUGCAUUUUAUUUUGCUUUUUAAUGUGCACAUUGGUACAUGUUUAACUACUCUACUCCUGUUCAAAAUGUACUUCUCUGUUCUGCAAUGAAUGCUUUUUAAGGGUGCGAGCCCCAGGGCGUGAAAUGAAUGUGGUAGAACUGGCCUCUACAUUUCUUUUGGGUGUGUCUCCUCCUGCAAGGCCUGGCCAGCUGCGAUGGGCAGAGGACACUGCCUCGCUCUCCAAGUACCUCAAUAAGUCAUUGACCUACUUGUGCCUCAUGUCUCUCAUUUGCAAAAUGAGGGUCCUACCUGAUUAACUCAAAGAUUCCCCUUCUAGAGCUUAAAACAUUGAACAAAAUGCAGUUAAACAAGAAAGGGCUAUGUUUGUUGGUUUUGUUUUUGUCUUUUUUGGUGUAGUUGGUUGGUUUUGUGUAUAAUGGAAUGGAAUCAUAUCAUUUGCUGGUUAUUGUCUAAUAUUAGUUUCAAAAACUAAUAAAAAUACUUUAAACUUCAAAUUAAUUUUCAAAA
Molecule: long non-coding RNA, 706 nt
Filed under: Homo sapiens (human)
Lineage: Eukaryota; Metazoa; Chordata; Mammalia; Primates; Hominidae
Description: non-protein coding lnc-RGS9BP-1:1
Source: RNAcentral